GAUGAAUUUUCAUAGGCUCCUCCAGGGCCAGCUCAACUUCUCAGACUUUAUAAACAAGGCUUUGCAAGGAGGUCUGUGCUCCAUCGGGGAGUCAGGGGCAACAAAAUGAGGUCAAGGAUCCAGGUCUUCACGGGCCUGUUGCUCUGUGUCUCUGGUGUCUGUGGUGACAUUGUGAUGACCCAGUCUCCAGCCUCCCUGAUUGUGUCUCCUGGAGAGAGCGCCACCAUUAGGUGUCAGUCCAGUCAGAGUCUUUUAUACAGUGGUAACAACAAGAAUCUUUUAAGCUGGUACCAGCAGAAACCAGGACAAUCCCCCAAACUGCUGAUCUACUGGGCAUCCACCCGAGCAUCUGGAAUCCCAGAGCGGUUCAGUGGCAGUGGGUCUGGCACGGAUUUCACUCUCACCAUCAGCGGCGCACAGGCUGAAGAUGUGGCGAGUUAUUACUGUUGGCAGGGUAUUAGUGCUCCUCCCACAGUGAUUCAGCCUCGAACAUAAACUUCCUGCCAAGGUCUCCCCACCUGCUUGCUCCCUGUGUGACCCAGGGCUUGAACAUUUCCUCCUGCUGCCUGAGAGACUGUGUCUGCCUGAUGGAUGAGGAAGUCUGAAGAGCUGAGCAGAAGUUAAAGGGCUCUUUGUCUCUGAAGUAUUUUGCUAUAUGAAAAUACAGCCAAGCUAUGUGUAUUAGUUUUGUAUUGUUUUAUUAUAAUUAACAAACUCAAAUUUUUGAAAUGAGAAAUUCAUUAGCUAUACUUGCAUAGGACAAAAAUCGAAUACCAGAUUCAAGAACUGAAAUAAACAUAUUGUAAGGUACUUUUCAUUUACAGACUGUAAGACAGAAUCUAUCUCUGCCCUUUCCUGUACCUUGAGUUCCUUUCAUUCCUUGACUGGUGGUCUUUUCCUUCAUCUGCAGAGUGAACAGCAUUUCAUUUCUCUGAAAGUUGUCCAUAGUGACAUUUUUCACUGAAUAUCCUUUUCUGCUUCAACUGUAAACCAGAAAAUGUGCUUACCUCCAAUGAUGAAUUUAAGUUUCUAUUUAAUAGCACAUGCUCUUCAGUCUUCACAGUUUGUAUUAACUAAUAAAAUUCUUCGUUUGGUCAUG
Cavia porcellus (domestic guinea pig) is the source of this 1099-nucleotide non-coding RNA. NCBI's taxonomy places the organism in Eukaryota, Metazoa, Chordata, Mammalia, Rodentia, Caviidae. The record is from the annotation of a RefSeq genome assembly.